UUUGAAAUACCGGUUCCCGUACGAUCAACGAAAUUAAGCAACAUCGAGCCUGAUUAAUAGCGAGAUGAGUGACCACUUGGAAAUACCAGAUGCUGUAAG
Acanthosepion pharaonis is the source of this 99-nucleotide non-coding RNA. NCBI's taxonomy places the organism in Eukaryota, Metazoa, Mollusca, Cephalopoda, Sepiida, Sepiidae. The record is from the annotation of a GenBank genome assembly.